Molecule: ribosomal RNA, 474 nt
Filed under: uncultured bacterium
Lineage: Bacteria
Description: partial 16S ribosomal RNA
Rfam family: Bacterial small subunit ribosomal RNA
Source: RNAcentral
GACGAACGCUGGCGGCGUGCUUAACACAUGCAAGUCGAGCGGUAAGGCUCCUUCGGGAGUACACGAGCGGCGAACGGGUGAGUAACACGUGAGUAAUCUGCCCUUCACUUCGGGAUAACCACCGGAAACGGUGGCUAAUACCGAAUACGACCAGUCUUCGCAUGAGGUGCUGGUGGAAAGUCUUUUCGGUGAAGGAUGUGCUCGCGGCCUAUCAGCUUGUUGGUGGGGUAAUGGCCUACCAAGGCUUCGACGGGCAGCCGGCCUGAGAGGGUGACCGGCCACACUGGGACUGAGACACGGCCCAGACUCCUACGGGAGGCAGCAGUGGGGAAUAUUGGACAAUGGGCGAAAGCCUGAUCCAGCAACGCCGCGUGAGGGAUGACGGCCUUCGGGUUGUAAACCUCUUUCAGUACCGACGAAGCGCCCUGUCGGGUGGUGACGGUAGGUACAGAAGAAGGACCGGCCAACUACGUG